Molecule: ribosomal RNA, 253 nt
Filed under: uncultured bacterium
Lineage: Bacteria
Description: partial 16S ribosomal RNA
Rfam family: Bacterial small subunit ribosomal RNA
Source: RNAcentral
UACGAAGGGGGCUAGCGUUGCUCGGAAUCACUGGGCGUAAAGGGUGCGUAGGCGGGUCUUUAAGUCAGGGGUGAAAUCCUGGGGCUCAACUCCAGAACUGCCUUUGAUACUGAGGAUCUUGAGUCCGGGAGAGGUGAGUGGAACUGCGAGUGUAGAGGUGAAAUUCGUAGAUAUUCGCAAGAACACCAGUGGCGAAGGCGGCUCACUGGCCCGGUACUGACGCUGAGGUGCGAAAGCGUGGGGAGCAAACAGG